This 39-nucleotide ribosomal RNA is filed under the name Skeletonema grethae. Its description in RNAcentral is "partial Eukaryotic small subunit ribosomal RNA". Lineage: Eukaryota; Bacillariophyta; Thalassiosirophyceae; Thalassiosirales; Thalassiosiraceae. The record is from RNAcentral.
AAGAAAUUGACGGAAAGACACCACUAGACGUGGAGUCUG